CCUACGGGGGCAGCAGUGGGGAAUAUUGGACAAUGGGGGGAACCCUGAUCCAGCCAUGCCGCGUGUGUGAAGAAGGCCCUCGGGUUGUAAAGCACUUUCAGUGAGGAAGAACGCCUGGUGGUUAAUACCCAUCAGGAAAGACAUCACUCACAGAAGAAGGACCGGCUAACUCCGUGCCAGCAGCCGCGGUAAUACGGAGGGUGCGAGCGUUAAUCGGAAUUACUGGGCGUAAAGCGCGCGUAGGUGGCUUGAUAAGCCGGUUGUGAAAGCCCCGGGCUCAACCUGGGAACGGCAUCCGGAACUGUCAAGCUAGAGUGCAGGAGAGGAAGGUAGAAUUCCCGGUGUAGCGGUGAAAUGCGUAGAGAUCGGGAGGAAUACCAGUGGCGAAGGCGGCCUUCUGGACUGACACUGACACUGAGGUGCGAAAGCGUGGGUAGCAAACAGGAUUAGAUACCCCGGUAGUC
Molecule: ribosomal RNA, 464 nt
Filed under: Vreelandella stevensii
Lineage: Bacteria; Pseudomonadati; Pseudomonadota; Gammaproteobacteria; Oceanospirillales; Halomonadaceae
Description: partial 16S ribosomal RNA
Rfam family: Bacterial small subunit ribosomal RNA
Source: RNAcentral